UACGUAGGGGGCAAGCGUUGUCCGGAUUUAUUGGGCGUAAAGAGCGUGUAGGCGGUUUGGUAGGUCCGUUGUGAAAACUCGAGGCUCAACCUCGAGACGCCGAUGGAAACCAUCAGACUAGAGUCCGGAAGAGGAGAGUGGAAUUCCUGGUGUAGCGGUGAAAUGCGCAGAUAUCAGGAGGAACACCAAUGGCGAAGGCAGCUCGCUGGGACGGUACUGACGCUGAGGCGCGAAAGCGUGGGGAGCAAACAGG
This 253-nucleotide ribosomal RNA is filed under the name uncultured bacterium. RNAcentral's name for it is "partial 16S ribosomal RNA". It matches the Rfam family "Bacterial small subunit ribosomal RNA", at positions 524 to 776 of the family's 1533-position model. The record is from RNAcentral.